UACGUAGGGUCCAAGCGUUAUCCGGAAUCACUGGGCGUAAAGCGUGCGUAGGUGGCGUGUUAAGUGUGAUGCUAAAUCGUGGGGCUCAACCCUGUCGGUGCAUCACAUACUGGCAUGCUAGAGGACAGCAGAGGCAAGUGGAAUUUGUAGUGUAGCAGUGAAAUGCGUAGAUAUUACAAGGAACACCAAUGGCGAAGGCAGCUUGCUGGGCUACUCCUGACACUGAGGUACGAAAGCGUGGGGAGCGAACAGG
Molecule: ribosomal RNA, 253 nt
Filed under: uncultured bacterium
Lineage: Bacteria
Description: partial 16S ribosomal RNA
Rfam family: Bacterial small subunit ribosomal RNA
Source: RNAcentral